This 578-nucleotide ribosomal RNA is filed under the name Acropsopilio neozelandiae. Its description in RNAcentral is "bacterial SSU rRNA". It matches the Rfam family "Eukaryotic small subunit ribosomal RNA", at positions 1 to 575 of the family's 1831-position model. The record is from RNAcentral. Lineage: Eukaryota; Metazoa; Arthropoda; Arachnida; Opiliones; Caddidae.
UACCUGGUUGAUCCUGCCAGUAGUCAUAUGCUCGUCUCAAAGACUAAGCCAUGCAUGUCUAAGUACGUGCCGAAACAAGGUGAAACCGCGAAUGGCUCAUUAAAUCAGUUAUGGUUCCUUAGAUCGUCCACUUCCACAUGGAUAACUGUGGCAAUUCUAGAGCUAAUACAUGCUAGUGGCCCCGACCUUCGGGAAGGGGCGCUUUUAUUAGACCAAGACCAAUCGGGCUUCGGCUCGUCAAUAUGGUGACUCUGGAUAACUUUGGGCCGACCGCACGAUCUCGCAUCGGCGGUCAUUCUUUCAAGUGUCUGCCUUAUCAACUUUCGAUGGUAGGUUACGCGCCUACCAUGGUUGUUACGGGUAACGGGGAAUCAGGGUUCGAUUCCGGAGAGGGCGCCUGAGAAACGGCGACCACAUCCAAGGAAGGCAGCAGGCGCGCAAAUUACCCACUCCCGGCACGGGGAGGUAGUGACGAAAAAUAACAAUACGGGACUCUUUUGAGGCCCCGUAAUUGGAAUGAGUACACUCUAAAUCCUUUAACGAGGAUCCAUUGGAGGGCAAGUCUGGUGCCAGCAGCC